UGUUUACCAUGCAAGUCGAACGGAAACGAAAAUAGCUUGCUAUUUGGCGUCGAGUGGCGAACGGGUGAGUAACGCGUAGGAAUCUACCCAGUAGAGGGGGAUAGCCCGAAGAAAUUCGGAUUAAUACCGCAUAAUCUCUACGGAGUAAAGAAGGCCUCUUUACAAUGCUUUUACUAUUGGAUGAGCCUGCGUUAGAUUAGUUAGUUGGUAGGGUAAAAGCCUACCAAGGCGACGAUCUAUAGCUGGUUUUACGAGAAUGAUCAGCCACACUGGAACUGAGACACGGUCCAGACUCCUACGGGAGGCAGCAGUGAAGAAUAUUGGACAAUGGGGGAAACCCUGAUCCAGCAAUGUUGCGUGUGUGAAGAAGGUCCGAGGAUUGUAAAGCACUUUCAGUAAGCAAGAAAAAUGUAAAUCUAAUAGAUUUGCAUGUUGACCACUUAUAGAAGAAGCACCGGCUAACUCCGUGCCAGCAGCCGCGGUAAUACGGAGGGUGCGAGCGUUAAUCGGAAUUACUGGGCGUAAAGGGUAAGUAGGCGGUUUAUAAAGUCACAUGUGAAAGCCCUAGGCUUAACCUAGG
This 580-nucleotide ribosomal RNA is filed under the name uncultured bacterium. RNAcentral's name for it is "bacterial SSU rRNA". It matches the Rfam family "Bacterial small subunit ribosomal RNA", at positions 45 to 618 of the family's 1533-position model. The record is from RNAcentral.